This 253-nucleotide ribosomal RNA is filed under the name uncultured bacterium. RNAcentral's name for it is "partial 16S ribosomal RNA". It matches the Rfam family "Bacterial small subunit ribosomal RNA", at positions 524 to 776 of the family's 1533-position model. The record is from RNAcentral.
UACGUAGGGGGCUAGCGUUGUCCGGAAUCAUUGGGCGUAAAGCGCACGUAGGCGGCUUAGCAAGUCGGAUGUGAAAUCCCUCGGCUCAACCAAGGAAGUGCAUCCGAAACUGCUGAGCUUGAGUACGAAAGAGGAUCGCGGAAUUCCCGGUGUAGAGGUGAAAUUCGUAGAUAUCGGGAGGAACACCAGUGGCGAAGGCGGCGAUCUGGGUCGAUACUGACGCUGAGGUGCGAAAGCGUGGGGAGCAAACAGG